AACAAGGCGUACCUGCGGACCUGCGGAGGGAUCAUUACAAAAAUUUCUCGGGGGCGUGACCGGUCACGGCACGCGCCCCCGCUGCAAGCGCCGGGAGGCGUCUGACAGCGCAACACUUUGUGAAAUCCCCACGUUGCUUCGGCAGCCCCUUUCAGGAGCGGUAAGCCUGCCGACAGCUUCCACCGAAACUCCUUCUGAAACCUGCACCUCCGUCUGAACAGCGCAGUCGAAUGACUACAA
Molecule: unclassified non-coding RNA, 240 nt
Filed under: soil metagenome
Description: partial contains 5.8S ribosomal RNA, internal transcribed spacer 2, and large subunit ribosomal RNA
Source: RNAcentral